RNAcentral lists this ribosomal RNA (253 nucleotides) under uncultured bacterium. RNAcentral describes it as "partial 16S ribosomal RNA". It matches the Rfam family "Bacterial small subunit ribosomal RNA", at positions 524 to 776 of the family's 1533-position model. The record is from RNAcentral.
GACAGAGGAUGCAAACGUUGUUCGGAAUUACUGGGCGUAAAGCGUGUGUAGGCGGUCCAUUAAGUCGGGCGUGAAAGCUCUGGGCUCAACCCAGAAAGAGCACUCGAUACUGGUGGACUUGAGUCUCGGAGAGGUUGGUAGAAUUCUUGGUGUAGAGGUGAAAUUCGUAGAUAUCAAGAGGAAUACCGGUGGCGAAGGCGGCCAACUGGACGAAGACUGACGCUGAGACACGAAAGCAUGGGGAGCAAACAGG